RNAcentral lists this long non-coding RNA (715 nucleotides) under Helianthus annuus (common sunflower). The record is from RNAcentral. Lineage: Eukaryota; Viridiplantae; Streptophyta; Magnoliopsida; Asterales; Asteraceae.
UUUUGUGUUUUAAUGAAAAGGUUAAAUUGGUAAUUAUAUAACCCCAUUUUCCAUUUAACUUAAACAUCUUCAGAUUCCAAAUAACGAAAUCACGUUAUCAUCAAAACCAAAAAUAAGGAAAUCACGCAUGUCUGAUUCCUUCAGCGAUUUCUUCAUUCGUUUGAUUUCUUCAACGAUUCCAGGGCGUAUAAAAUCUAAUUGAAUGAGCUAAUCGAUCUAUGGGUUUUAUGUACCAGUGCUUGAAUCGUGUAAGCCAGAUUUGUUCAGUGUCACUAGCCGGUGGCGAAAACCAUAUCGGUACUAGCGGGUUCUGAAAAAGCAUAACUGGUGAACGAGAGCUAUGAUUGUUAAUCGACACGAGUCAUGUUUAAAGACUUUUGACAUAUGCUACUAUUGUAAAAGACCAUUUCAAUGCUAGAAGAUACGAGGACAUAUAUAUAUACGUACGUACGUGAUACUGAAGUGAAAGAGUUGUUUGCAAGGCUGCAUCGGAUGGAUGAGAAUGUUGAUGGUGCUGCAAGGAUUAUUAUGUGUCUAUUCAUAUUUAUGUAUAUGUAACAGUUGAUUGUACAUAUGUGUAAGUGUAUGUUCUACAAAUAUGUGAAUGUCAUGUAUUAUUAUGAUGUUAACCUUAAUUUUUAUGGUUUGUUUAUACAAUGAAUUUCGUUACUUUGAGAUAGAAAUAUGCAUGUAAUAAACAAAUCUGGUUCAUAUU